RNAcentral lists this unclassified non-coding RNA (420 nucleotides) under soil metagenome. Its description in RNAcentral is "partial contains 5.8S ribosomal RNA, internal transcribed spacer 2, and large subunit ribosomal RNA". The stretch from base 1 to 120 matches the Rfam family "5.8S ribosomal RNA", at positions 35 to 154 of the family's 154-position model. The record is from RNAcentral.
GAUGAAGAACGCAGUGAAAUGCGAUAAGUAAUGUGAAUUGCAGAAUUCAGUGAAUCAUCGAAUCUUUGAACGCAUCUUGCGCUCCUUGGUAUUCCUUGGAGCAUGCCUGUUUGAGUAUCAUGAGCAAAUCUCAAAGUCAAUUCCUUUUGUUAAUUCAAUUGGUUUUGCUUUGGACUUGGAGGUCUUGCAGAUUUCACAGUCUGCUCCUCUUAAAUGCAUUAGCUGGAUCUCAGUAAUUAUGCUUGGUUCCACUCGGCGUGAUAAGUAUCACUCGCUGAGGACACUGUUAAAAAGGUGGCCAGGAAAAUAACUGAUUGAACCGCUUCUAACGGUCUAUUAAGUUAGACAAUUGACCCUUAAGUUUGAUCUCAAAUCAGGUAGGACUACCCGCUGAACUUAAGCAUAUCAAUAAGCGGAGGA